This 24-nucleotide microRNA is filed under the name Sarcophilus harrisii (Tasmanian devil). Its description in RNAcentral is "Sha-Mir-12475-P30_5p* (star (passenger))". The record is from RNAcentral. Lineage: Eukaryota; Metazoa; Chordata; Mammalia; Dasyuromorphia; Dasyuridae.
UAGAUAUUCUGAAAGCCCAUUGUU